Long non-coding RNA from Mustela lutreola (European mink), 5782 nucleotides. RefSeq lists it as uncharacterized. The transcript is spliced from 4 exons. The record is from RefSeq and is a predicted model, not a curated record. NCBI's taxonomy places the organism in Eukaryota, Metazoa, Chordata, Mammalia, Carnivora, Mustelidae.
UUGCCGAGCUCCUUCCUCCCCCUUGUCCCUUAUCUGCUGGAACAGGAGCGCGGGAGCCUAUGAGGUCAGAUGGAGAGAGUAAAGGGUGCGUGCGUGUGUCUCCCUGGCCGUCUGACCUGCAGAGAGCAUGUCUGGACCCCGCUCUGGGGUCCGCUGCUGGGACUCGGACACAGAGCAGAGGGAGCGAGCACGGCUGGGACAGAAAGGCCACAGAAGGCAGGAGCCAGGGGACCUCCGGGGUGCUCACACCUGUCCCGUGGCUAACGGACAUCUACGUCCAUCUUCCAUGCUCAGCCCUUACUCCGACAGACGGCGGCCUCCUCCGUUCCGCUCACACUCCUUGCUGUCUCGAGCUCGGCGCCUCCCGUAACCCACCAUCGAUCCGUACACUCGGAUGCGCCACAGUGACGUCACUCAGCACGUGCCAGCCGGCCCCGCACGUCUGCACAUGAGCCGCCGUAGGGAUUCGAGGGGCCUGAGGAGAACGGACUCUCGGGGCAAGAAUGAGAGGGGCCGGGCUGCCGGGCACCCUCCAGGUGAAGCGCGCACACGUGCGCCCCGGGGCCCAGGCCUGGGUCCGCGGAGUCUGGUUCUGGCUCUGCGCUCGUCCUCGCCCCCACGGCCUUCUGCCCGCCACACUCGGGGAAGAUGUCCCCGGCCAGAGGAGCGUGUGCGGUGAGCGGGGAAGUCUGCACCGGAAACAGUGGCCGGAGGCGGCCAUUCUGGAGCUCGAGAGACGCUCCCUGGGGUUGUUCUUUCUGACCAGCGCCGGGGGAAGAAGGCUGGCUUUCUUGUCCUAGCCCCAUCACCCUCGUGACGAGUGACUGCCGGAUGCACACCUCCUGGGCUUGAAGAAGGGCCUCCCACCUCUGCCCCCUCUGUCUGCUGUGACGGUCCCCAGACACCUUUCCUGUUCACACCACACUCAUCUCCUCGCCUCUACGUGGUUGAAAUAUGUCCCCGAACACGCAGACCUUUUGGGCGCUCCCUUCCUGGAAGGACUCCUGCCGUCACCCCGGAGCCCCACUGGGCUUUUCCUUCAAUGGAUCCUUUGAAGCAAAAACGCCACCUCUCUGGGGAGAUUGGGCAGGUCAUCUCCGCCUCCUCUGCGUUCCAGUGUAGAGAAGACUACGCCCACCCUAGCCCAUUGUUUGGGGUUCUGUCCUGGCGUGUUUUCCGUAAACGUGGAAGACGCGGUUGAGCAUUCGCUCUGAAGCAUAAAGGAGAAGACAGCUGUCUCUGGUGUUAUUUGGGGACUUUACUCCCAAGUCCAGGCAGGGGCAAAAUGGGAGCAUCGCUGUAUCAGAUCGGAUUCUGCCAUAACACAGGGAUGCGGGGUAGGCCAGGGAGACACGGGAAUCCGGCGUCAUCUCCGCGUAGAGGGCGAAGAUACGGAGAGCAGACUGGAGAGCAGACCGGAGAGCAGACGGGAGAGCAGACCGGAGAGCAGACCGGAGCGGACAGAAACCACAGUUGUGAGCGUCAAGGCCGCGUCGUCUCUCCACCCUCCACCCCAUCCAUCACUCAACAAACACUUCCUUAGCACUAUUCUUUUCCAGGGCUUGGCUCGGGGUAAGCAGAAAGGAAGGCAAUGCGUGCAGAGUGCGCCCGGCACCCCACAGCCUCUUCUCGUGGCUGCUCUGACCACCAAGGGUCACCGUGAUCCUGACUUCAACCGUGGCGGAUUCCCUUUGUCCUGAUGUGUGCGUAACGUGCGCUCCUUUGUGUCUUCCUUUCCACACUGCGUUUCAGAGACUCACCCCUGCUUUCCAUGUUCCCAAGUGGCACUGCCCUGCACAGACGUACCCUGACUUUACUAUGGGUGGACCUUUGGGGCGCCAGCCCUCUGGGACAUCAUGACCACACGCUGCACACAUGCUUGCUGGUGGCUUCGGAGCGUGGCCGCAUGCCCCUUCUUUGGAACAUCUUCCUAGAAGUGCAGCCACGGGCUCACGGAGCACACGUGUGGCUUCACUGCCUACUUCUAACGGGUAGAAUAUGUUUGCACUAGUCUGCACUCCUGCCAGCACCGUAGGUGGUUCUGGUUCUCCUCUGUCCCUGCCAAUGCUCCUUGCUGCCUGUCAUAGUUGUGUUCAUGGUGAGUGUGGGUCCAAGCAUGUUUUAUUUGGCGAGUAUUAACUUUGCCUCUAACACAUAAGAUCCACACGCUGGAGAGCAAUGUAAGAAAGAGAGAAAUUUUCCAAAAAAUGUCUAAUGACCGAAAUCUUCCUAUUUUUCCUAGACUUUCUUAUCUAUAGACACUCCAUCUGCAUUUAAAACCAGGAGUGUUGAGGUCCUCUUAUACACAGUUCUGGGGCUUUUCCUCUUUUUCACAGAACACGAUACAGCAAGCACAGUCCCAGACCAUCCGAUGCUCAGUGAGGUUGUGACUUUCACAGCAUUAAACUGCUUAUCGGGAGGUUUGUACCACAGUUCACUUAUCUCUACCCUCACAAAGCUUAAAACCGAACAUUAAAAAAGAAAAGAAAAGAAAUCAAGCAGAUAGUGAGGAAAUUUAUUCCAGAAAAAAGUGUGGUAUUUAAAGAAGCAAGACAAAAUCCAGCACCCAAUAACUUAAGAGCACAAUGUCUACAAUCCAAUAAAAAGUGGCAGGACAGGCAGGAAAGCAGGAAAAUACAAACCCAACCUUCAGAGAAGAAAUUUAAGCCAAUGGAAACCGCACGAGGCGUAACUCAGACAGCCAUCCGUCACGUGGCACAUAUAAAGCACCAUCAUCAGCACACGUCGUGUGCACAAGCACAGCAGAAGACAUUCUAGGUAGAUUUUUAAGACAGCGAGUGUCAACUAUAGAACAAUUCGAGGACCGUGGCCAGACCAUGUCUGUGAUCUCCCGGUGCUGACAGACUCUUCGUGAAGAUUCGAAAGGCACACGUCUCUGGGUAAAAAGGGAGGGUCUGGGGAUGAAUAAAACUAGGUUUUCUUUCACGUGGAACACCGGUGACAAGAAUGCAGACCCAUGAGAUACUGAGGGGAGGUCUUUCUAACAUGGAGAACGGACAACAGAACAGCAUAUUGAAAACAAGGUAUUUGGGCAAAUACACAUGGAAACGGCCAAGAAAUGAAUGGAAAUCCUGGUGGUGUGCAGCGGUUCAUUCCCAGAAAGUCACAACCAAAGGGAUGACAGGUGAAAAGAAGCCGACAUUCCCUAAAACAAGACCUCAGGAUGGCAGAACGCAGCAAGAGACGAUUCCAGACGAGAACGAGCAUGUGGGGGGCGGCCUUCCCGCAGGCGUCCAGCCUUCCCGCAGACGUCCGGCCUUCCCGCAGACGUCCGGCCUUCCCGCAGGCGUCCGGCCUUCCCGCAGGCGUCCGGCCUUCCCGCAGACCGCCUGGCAACAUUCAGGGAAGUUUAGUGCAUGGAUACCAUACAACCCAGUAAGCCCUUCCUCAUUCUUGGUUUCCCCUCAGUUGUGUUUGUCCCUCGGGAACUGGCCCCGAGUGAGGACAGAACAACAGAUGCUCACAGACGGUGGCCUCUGUGUGGCCCUGGGGGCGUGGACAUCCAGAACCCACUGCCACCAGCCACUGGGCACCACCAAAGCCAGGCGUGCAGAGCCACAACAACGUGUGUGCUGUGAGCCAGUCACUUCUCCCAAACCCACAACCGAGGUUUCACCACCCUCCCCAGCAAAGGCGAGGACCUUAAAGGUAGAAGUGGGUUAAGGGGGUGUCCAUGCCUCCCGGUGAGGAAAGGUGGGUCUGGACUGAGACCUUUUGUUUUUAAUUUUAUUAUAUAAAUUUCAAGUAUACAAAACUGGAACAAAACAGCCCCCCAGCUUUCACGAAAACUGAAGCUGCAUCCACCCCCUCACCCCGAUCCCGUGUCAUAGGAUUUGUAAAGCAAAUUCCAAGGGAACUGUCAUUUUAUCCUUAAGCAUUAUGGUUUGCAACUCAAAAAUACAGGUUUUCCCUUUUUGGAAACAUCACACCAUCAGGAGCUCAUUGCGCGAUUUUCCACACUCAGUGCUUGCUGCCACUGCACGUGCCUCUCCCUAGUUGUUCUGUGAGUGGUUUUUAGCAGCGUAUUUGCCUGUGUGUUUGCGCGCGUGCACGUGUGUGUGUGUCUGUGUGUGUCUGUGUCUGUGUCUAGGGGCAAACUCUGCAAUCAGUUUGCUUGUCCAUCAAACCUCCCUCCAUCCGGAAAUGGCUUCUCUUCAAUAGGAUUUGUAAAGCAAAUUCCAAGGGGACUGUCAUUUUAUCCUUAAGUAUUAUGCCCCUUGGACGUGGUUUGUUGAAGAACACAGGAUGUUUGUCCCAGAGCUUCCCACAGGCAGACUUCUGCUGACUGCAGCCCCGCGAUGGCGUUUAGCCUGUUCAGACGACCCUUGUACUUUCUGUAAAUGCAGAUCUACACACCCCGUCGGAUUUAGGGUUUGCAGGAGUGUUUCCCAGAAGACGUCUGCGUGUCUGGUGCCGGUUACACAGUCUCCUUCGUCUCCCACUCUGUGACGUCUGCUGCUGCUGGUGACCCCGGCCGACAUCCAUUCCUUCGAGAGUUCCAAGUUGUGAUAUUGAAAUUUCAUGACUUCUGGUUCAUUCAUUAGCUGGAGACACUUCCCAUCACCAACUCUUUGGUUUCCUUGAGGUCAGUCCACACCAGCCAAGCCGAGCAAACCUCAGGUCUCCCCGUGCUCUCCCUCCCAUCUUCGGGUUAGAGCCCUUCACUCCCUAGGGUCCUCUGCACCUGACGAAUGAGCUGUUUUUUCAGUAUUACUAUGAACUCACAAAUUUACAUCUAUCUGAUGUUUGCCAGUGCAUGGCAGCUAAUACCUCUAUUAUCUCAAAUUUAUUUUCUGAGCACGUGUCAUGGGACCUUGGUUGACUCUGACAACUUUUCUGCCGUCAGGCGUAAAGAGGGGUCCCACGUGCUCCUCAAACAGUUUCUGCCCCAGACUUGGAAAUCAACAAUUUCUCCGGUGGGUUCCGGCUCUUUCUCAUGGGAGGCGGUACUUAGACAGAGCUGGUCGUGACCACUGUGCAGCCUGUCCCUCCAACUCCCAAACCAAGGAGUUGAGUGAGAAAGUACAAAGUGAUAGAAAAUACCACUGUGGAGAGUUAAGAAGUACAAAAAAAAUUAGGGGCACCCAGCUGGCUCAGUCAGAGGAGCGUGGGACUCUUGAUGUCAGGAUUAUGAGUUUGAGCCCCACGUUGAGUGUGGAGAGUCCAAAACAAAGCAAAACAAACAAACAAACAAAGAAAAACAAACAAAACACCACCAACAACAACAACAAGAAAAAGAACACCACUACCAAGAAAACCCCUUUUUAAAAAGGUACACAAAAUAAUUCUCUGCAUUUCGUAAGUGUAAUUCGAUGCCACAGUUACUAUCACACAUAGUUAACCCCAAACAUCGGGUGAAGGCCAGUGGGAGGGAAGGGGGAGCGCAGAGAGAAAUGGAUUAUUAAAAAAGAAGAAAGAAAGAAAAAGAAAAAGAAAGGAAGAAGGAAAGAAACAGGCUCAUGGUUUAUGGACUGAAAUGUUAGUUAAUUUAACUUCUGUCAUCAGAAGGUCAGUAAGUUAAUAAACAAAAUUUUAAAGGCAAAGAAAUACAGGCAGAUCCUUACAGAAAGUAGACCCGUGGUUGGUGGGAGGGGGCGACGGUUGCUAAUGAGUGCAGGGUUUCUUUAUGGGGUAAUAAAAGUGCUCUGGAAUUAGAUUGGGGUGAGGCAUAUAUAUUGGUGAAUAUACUGAAAACCAUUGAAUUGUACAUUUUAUAAGGGUAAACUUUACGGCUUGUAAAUUAUAUCUCAAUUUAAUAAAA